AUCCAUGAUGGCCGAGACAUUAGGCAUCGAGCUUUUAACUCGAUUACAGUUAUUGCCCAACUUCAGGAUA
Molecule: transfer RNA, 70 nt
Filed under: Pseudocuneopsis capitata
Lineage: Eukaryota; Metazoa; Mollusca; Bivalvia; Unionida; Unionidae
Description: Cuneopsis capitatus tRNA-Lys
Source: RNAcentral